Molecule: long non-coding RNA, 942 nt
Filed under: Homo sapiens (human)
Lineage: Eukaryota; Metazoa; Chordata; Mammalia; Primates; Hominidae
Description: HSALNT0381240
Source: RNAcentral
CAAAGGCUAUAAAACUAAACAGGGAGGGGCCCUUAAUAAAGCAUAAUCCAAAUUUUGCCCCCUAUCAAGACAUAUAUACACAUACAUUUAGGCAGUCUUUGACUUUAGUAUUUUCAGCUUUUGAAUAGCCCACCCUUUCACAUAUUGUACCAACAGUCUAAAUUACCUUUCAUAUGCCAAAGUGUGACUUUCAUAUAUCAGUUAAUGAAUAACUGUUGACCUGUUUUCACAAUGUGAGCUACUUACCAGCAAACAGGGAAGUUUUGUCUAUAUAGCGGUGUUUGUACAAACGUGAUCAUUUUAUUGUUCUUUGCUCUAAUAUCAUUUUAUAAAAAUUAAUAAGAAAUAAAACAACUGCUGAAACUAAAAUGAUAGGAAGCAUAUGUCUCAAACUUAAUACUAUAAAGACCAUAUUAGAAAUCUGAAGCAUGACAAAAAUGUAACUCUCUGGCCUCAACUGACUAGAAAUUUAUUGCUGAUUGUGUUUUCUGUCCCUUCUGGAUUUUUACAAGUCAUGGAUCCUACUACAUUCUUUCUGCAUAUUGAACCAACCUUCUGGGGAGACAGUGGACCUACCAGACACCUACCGGACUGCAACAAUUGUUUCACGUGAUCUUUCAGACGAGAGCAAAUGUCUUCCUAAAUAGAAAAAAAGUUCAGGAAGUCAUUUUCAUAAAGAGUUUUAAUAAAGAGUAAACUAAAAAUUAUGAUACAUAAUUAGAUUUGAUGUCAAACACAAGAUCAUCACAUGGGAGCAUCACCUCUUUUACAAGUCAACAGAGAAUGGAGACCCCCAACCCAAUAAGGAAAAGCCACCAGGAUCCACUCUUCUCCAGUCAUCCAAGAAGGGCUACUGUCCAAGUCCAACUAACUUCAAUGUUACCCUAUGUUUGGCCAAAACUAACUUUAAAAUAAAAUAAAAUAAAAAUUUAUGAAGCUACA